UACGUAGGGUGCAAGCGUUGUCCGGAAUUAUUGGGCGUAAAGAGCUCGUAGGCGGUUUGUCGCGUCGGCUGUGAAAGCCCGGAGCUCAACUCCGGGUCUGCAGUCGAUACGGGCAGACUUGAGUGUUGCAGGGGAGACUGGAAUUCCUGGUGUAGCGGUGAAAUGCGCAGAUAUCAGGAGGAACACCGGUGGCGAAGGCGGGUCUCUGGGCCGAUACUGACGCUGAGGAGCGAAAGCGUGGGGAGCGAACAGG
Molecule: ribosomal RNA, 253 nt
Filed under: uncultured bacterium
Lineage: Bacteria
Description: partial 16S ribosomal RNA
Rfam family: Bacterial small subunit ribosomal RNA
Source: RNAcentral